CUUAGCAAGAAGCUUGCAGCCUGAACAUUGACACGGAUGAGAACCCCCAGCCAGAAGGUCACACCCUCCUUUGGUACCCAAAGGAGAACAAAGGAUGGGGACAGAGCCAAGUGGCUCGCUUGUAACAAAUGGAUAGAAUAGAAGUGACAGGCAUGGGAUGUCCCUUCCAAGGGGAGAGUUGUUGGGAGGCAACUGAGGGCUCUGGCCCAGCCUUGCC
Molecule: long non-coding RNA, 217 nt
Filed under: Homo sapiens (human)
Lineage: Eukaryota; Metazoa; Chordata; Mammalia; Primates; Hominidae
Description: HSALNT0277103
Source: RNAcentral